AGUGAACGCUGGCGGCAGGCCUAACACAUGCAAGUCGAACGGCAGCACAAGAGAGCUUGCUCUCUGGGUGGCGAGUGGCGGACGGGUGAGGAAUGCAUCGGAAUCUGCCCAUUUGUGGGGGAUAACCUCGGGAAACCGGGACUAAUACCGCAUACGACCUACGGGUGAAAGCAGGGGAUCUUCGGACCUUGCGCAGAUGGAUGAGCCGAUGCCGGAUUAGCUAGUUGGAGGGGUAAAGGCCCACCAAGGCGACGAUCCGUAGCUGGUCUGAGAGGAUGAUCAGCCACACUGGGACUGAGACACGGCCCAGACUCCUACGGGAGGCAGCAGUGGGGAAUAUUGGACAAUGGGCGCAAGCCUGAUCCAGCCAUGCCGCGUGUGUGAAGAAGGCCUUCGGGUUGUAAAGCACUUUUGUUGGGAAAGAAAAGCAGCCGGUUAAGACCCGGUUGUCAUGACGGUACCCAAAGAAUAAGCACCGGCUAACUUCGU
RNAcentral lists this ribosomal RNA (489 nucleotides) under uncultured bacterium. Its description in RNAcentral is "partial 16S ribosomal RNA". It matches the Rfam family "Bacterial small subunit ribosomal RNA", at positions 29 to 506 of the family's 1533-position model. The record is from RNAcentral.